Long non-coding RNA from Onychostoma macrolepis, 360 nucleotides. RefSeq lists it as uncharacterized. The transcript has 3 exons. Lineage: Eukaryota; Metazoa; Chordata; Actinopteri; Cypriniformes; Cyprinidae. The record is from RefSeq and is a predicted model, not a curated record.
UGUUGGGGCGCCCCAGGAAUGUGGUUAGGAACCACUCCUCUAUACACCUUUUAGGGACAGAUGAGGUACAGUUGUUUGCCUAUUAAGGUACUAGUAAAGUGACAAGCAGUUGUACCCCUAAAGAAGUAAGACUUCCGCUGCUGAAGCAUUAGCAGUAGCAGUCUCAGAGAGAAUGGCUCGUCACUCCAUGGAAGAGAGGGGUGAGGCCUGCUGUCCUGCUCUUGUGAACUGGCUGGCUCCCAGCAGAGCACUAAAAGCGAUCUCCAAAUGCACAUGAGACCAGAAGAGCAAUUAGGCCCGAUUAGCACCGCAGAUGUGAGAUGCCACCAAGUUGAAGUCGCUCUGCACAAGUAGGCUCUG